This 239-nucleotide ribosomal RNA is filed under the name Oxyrrhis marina. RNAcentral's name for it is "partial Bacterial large subunit ribosomal RNA". It matches the Rfam family "Bacterial large subunit ribosomal RNA", at positions 756 to 993 of the family's 2925-position model. The record is from RNAcentral. Lineage: Eukaryota; Dinophyceae; Oxyrrhinales; Oxyrrhinaceae.
GUAACAGGCACUGGAGGACCGAACCCACUGUCUUUGAAAAGCCAGGGGAUGACUUGUGGAUAGGGGUGAAAGGCUAAUCAAACUCGGUGAUAGCUGGUUCUCCCCGAAAGCUAUUUAGGUAGCGCCUCGGACGAAUACCAUUGGGGGUAGAGCACUGUUUCGGCUAGGGGGUCAUCCCGACUUACCAAACCGAUGCAAACUCCGAAUACCAAUGAGUACUAUCCGGGAGACAGACUGCG